Molecule: ribosomal RNA, 253 nt
Filed under: uncultured bacterium
Lineage: Bacteria
Description: partial 16S ribosomal RNA
Rfam family: Bacterial small subunit ribosomal RNA
Source: RNAcentral
UACGUAGGGGGCAAGCGUUGUCCGGAUUUAUUGGGCGUAAAGAGCGUGUAGGCGGCCAUGUAGGUCCGUUGUGAAAACUCGAGGCUCAACCUCGAGACGCCGGUGGAAACCGUAAGGCUAGAGUCCGGAAGAGGAGAGUGGAAUUCCUGGUGUAGCGGUGAAAUGCGCAGAUAUCAGGAAGAACACCCGUGGCGAAGGCGGCUCUCUGGGACGGUACUGACGCUGAGACGCGAAAGCGUGGGGAGCGAACAGG